Cavia porcellus (domestic guinea pig) is the source of this 2010-nucleotide long non-coding RNA. RefSeq lists it as uncharacterized. The transcript has 3 exons. NCBI's taxonomy places the organism in Eukaryota, Metazoa, Chordata, Mammalia, Rodentia, Caviidae. The record is from RefSeq and is a predicted model, not a curated record.
GUGGGAGGGGCCAGGUUGCUGGUGUGAGGGAGAGGUGAGUGGAAGUAUCUCCAAGCCAGGCAGUCCAUCGAGAGUGGUAGCAUCCGAGGCGGCCGCCAGGCUGCACUUGCUCUGGGCCACGUGGGUGAAGACAUGGGGGAAAACUGGGCCCAGGUUUGCGUGGAACCCCCGGAGAAAUCUGGCUCCAGGUGCAGAGCUGGGAGGCUCCGCUCUGAAGCAGAAUCACGCUGAGGCACAGCAGGGGACUAUGCCCACACUUAGGGAGGGGCAGAGGAGGAGACACUCACCAGGGAAACGCAGAGCCAAGAGGCCACAAGCCAGUGCUCCUGUGGAAGCCAAGACCAGGAGAGCAGGUCUCGGGAGAAUUUCCUGGAGCAGCAGCGAACUGCUAACUUUGCCAAGAAAAUGUCUUCUAUUCCCUUCGGGAGGCGAGGACAGAAGGGAGCAGGGAAGCUGACUUGCAGCCAUGUGAAGAGCUACGUAGAAGCUCUGGUCCUCACAUCGAGCAUCACUUCCUGGCUCCGGAGGGGAAGACAUGUGCUGCUUGGUCUCCAGGAUGAACUUGUCACGCUGGCCUUCUGGCAUGUACCCCACUGUGCUUGUCAUUGGAGGAGUUCGGGGCCUUCGUGUCGCCGAGGAGGCUGUGGUGCCUUUCAGGACAGCCCUGGUCUUUGUUGCCCUGCAGUUGCUUAUGGAGAAGCCUCCCCGACCGAUGGGCUUUCUCUCCUGGCCUCCUCAGCAAUGUCACAGCCUAGGGGGCAGAAGACCCAUCCUAGGGCGGCUGGUGACCUGGAUGGUGUACAGAGGGAAGAGGAAGGCGCCUGCUUCUGUUCUUCAGAGGAGCUCACGUCUUCACCUGCAGCCUGCACGUCAUCUCCCGGCUUCAGCACAGACCCUUCGGCCUCUUGUCAAUGGAGUCGCGCGGGACACUUCAGUGAGCUCCAGACCUUGUGCUGAAUCCUCCGCUUCCCGCUGUGCAGACACCUUCUGCCCGCCUCCUCGUUGACUCUGGGCUGGCCAUCCUAAGCCAAUCCUGUCACUGCUUAGCCAUUCCUAUUUCUUGUGCUGCUUUGCUAGUAAACACUGAGUGAUGUGCACACCCUCGCUUGCUAGGUGACAGCACGACCUGUCUCACUCAUCCAGCUGAUACCUGGGAGGCACCGCCCUGCGAGCAUUGUGCAUUGGUGGUGCCACCGAGAACAACAUGAAGCGGACACCAGGAGAGUUCUGGAGGCCUCUGAAGAAUGGCUCGCUGCUCUCAGCCCUGUGCAUCUGAACAGACAUCUGCCUGGUACACACACACACACACACACACACACACACACACACACCCCACUGAAAUUCACGGGGAGUGCUGCAGCGGGUAGCAGAGGUGCCAAGAACCAAGCGGGCUUGGACAGAAGACAGGAUCGUGUCCCUCUCAAGGAGAACCGCCUGGGAACCCUGCAGCAUUUGUGCCACCAGCUCUGCUGUCUCUAGGUGAGGGUUACCUGAAGGUGCUGCAUGUCCACAAUGCAGUGUCCCGUCUCUUCAGAAGGAGAGGCCUCCAUGACAGAGUUCUAAAUGUACAUCUUUCAUAUCUCCAUCACUGAUACUGGGUCAUUCAGGUAUUAUUAUAGAUAUUAAAUGUAAUGUCCCAACUAUUCCAUAUUGCAUGAUGUCUAAUUAGGGCCCCUCCCCAGAAAUUGAUGCAUUACUAGGUAGGUGUUUAUAAAUAUCUGUCAUUUCCUUCCAAUAUUUCACAUUUAUGUAAAGCCUUUCAUUUAAAAAUUAAAUAUCAACAGGAAUGGAACAUUACAUAAAGUUUAUUUUACAAAUGUUCCUGACAACUUCCCAUUCCCCUUUAUGUGCUAAACUGCCUGUUUACAGAACAAUUUCUCCUUCAUUGUGACUCUUCAAUGUUUAAUGGUGACAUUUUCUCUUUUAAAAAAAGAAAUGUCAAUAUAUUAUUUACAUUGCCUUUCAUCCCUUUGGAGUUGAAACCUAUUCUCUGGUCAUCUAAAUUUGAAU